RNA transcript from Mandrillus leucophaeus (drill), 6462 nucleotides. It is a transcript of the gene named serine/threonine kinase 4, with no coding region annotated. The record is from RefSeq and is a predicted model, not a curated record. Lineage: Eukaryota; Metazoa; Chordata; Mammalia; Primates; Cercopithecidae. The transcript is spliced from 12 exons.
CGGAAGUGUGGGAGGGUCUGCGGGGCGGGCUCAGGGAGGUCCGCCGGGAGGAUGGAGCAGUGAGCGGGUCUGGGCGGCUGCCGGCAGCGCCAUGGAGACGGUACAGCUGAGGAACCCGCCGCGCCGGCAGCUGAAAAAGUUGGAUGAAGAUAGUUUAACCAAACAACCAGAAGAAGUAUUUGAUGUCUUAGAGAAACUUGGAGAAGGGUCCUAUGGCAGCGUAUACAAAGCUAUUCAUAAAGAGACAGGUCAGAUUGUUGCUAUUAAGCAAGUUCCUGUGGAAUCAGACCUGCAGGAGAUAAUCAAAGAAAUCUCUAUAAUGCAGCAAUGUGACAGCCCUCAUGUAGUCAAAUAUUAUGGCAGUUAUUUUAAGAACACAGACUUAUGGAUCGUUAUGGAGUACUGUGGGGCUGGUUCUGUAUCUGAUAUCAUUCGAUUACGAAAUAAAACGUUAACAGAAGAUGAAAUAGCUACAAUAUUACAAUCAACUCUUAAGGGACUUGAAUACCUUCAUUUUAUGAGAAAAAUACACCGAGAUAUCAAGGCAGGAAAUAUUUUGCUAAAUACAGAAGGACACGCAAAACUUGCAGAUUUUGGGGUAGCAGGUCAACUUACAGAUACCAUGGCCAAGCGGAAUACAGUGAUAGGAACACCAUUUUGGAUGGCUCCAGAAGUGAUUCAGGAAAUUGGAUACAACUGUGUAGCAGAUAUCUGGUCCCUGGGAAUAACUGCCAUAGAAAUGGCUGAAGGAAAGCCCCCUUAUGCUGAUAUCCAUCCAAUGAGGGCAAUCUUCAUGAUUCCUACAAAUCCUCCUCCCACAUUCCGAAAACCAGAGCUGUGGUCAGAUAACUUUACAGAUUUUGUGAAACAGUGUCUUGUAAAGAGUCCUGAGCAGAGAGCCACAGCCACUCAGCUCCUGCAGCACCCAUUUGUCAAGAGUGCCAAAGGAGUGUCAAUACUGCGAGACUUAAUUAAUGAAGCCAUGGAUGUGAAACUGAAACGCCAGGAAUCCCAGCAGCGGGAAGUGGACCAGGACGAUGAAGAAAACUCAGAAGAGGAUGAAAUGGAUUCUGGCACAAUGGUUCGAGCAGUAGGUGAUGAGAUGGGCACUGUCCGAGUAGCCAGCACCAUGACUGAUGGAGCCAAUACUAUGAUUGAGCACGAUGACACGUUGCCAUCACAGCUGGGCACCAUGGUGAUCAAUACAGAGGAUGAGGAAGAGGAAGGAACUAUGAAAAGAAGGGAUGAGACCAUGCAGCCUGCAAAACCAUCUUUUCUUGAAUAUUUUGAACAAAAAGAAAAGGAAAACCAGAUCAACAGCUUUGGCAAGAGUGUACCUGGUCCACUGAAAAAUUCUUCAGAUUGGAAAAUACCACAGGAUGGAGACUACGAGUUUAAAACUAGCCAAGAACAGUAGUCUGAAAAAGACAUAUGUAUCCAAAAUUGCCAGGGAAACCUGCUGUGUAGAUACGCUUUCUGAGAAACCACAUGCUUAAGAGUUGGACAGUGGAGGACCUUCAGAAGAGGCUCUUGGCCCUGGACCCCAUGAUGGAGCAGGAGAUUGAAGAGAUCCGGCAGAAGUACCAGUCCAAGCGGCAGCCCAUCCUGGAUGCCAUUGAGGCUAAGAAGAGACGGCAACAAAACUUUUGAGCAAGGCCAGGCUGUGAGGGCCCCAGCUCCACCCAGGCUUUGGGUGAAUUCUGGAUGGCUUGCCUCACAUCUGUUAGCCAGCACUUCUACUCUGUCGUCUCUCCACAGCACCUUUGUGAACUCAGGAAUGUGCGCCAGUGGGAAGGGCUCUCUUGACAGCCAGCGUGCCAUCUUGAUGUGUGUAUGUACAUUGGUCAGGUAUAUUAUUUCAAAGGAUUUAUAUUGGCGCUUUUAACUCAGAGUUUUAAACCCCAGGAACAGAGACUCCUAGUUGAGUGAUAGCUGGGAAAGUUUUACGUUGUCUGUUUGCUUUUCUUCUCCCAAUAGCUUUCAAUUGUUCUUUCUGGAAGACUUUUAAAAUAUAUAUAAAUAUGCAUAUAUAUAUAUAAAUUAUAAAUAGAUUCCCCACUCAGUGUGGUGGCAUCUCUGUACAGGUACAGUUUUAAACAGUUUGCCUCUUCUGUAAGAUUAUGGUACUGUGGAACAUGAGGGCAGAGGACACCGGGAGGUUGUUAGGGGGUCACUGAAUCCCAGGAGCCAACCUCCCCCUUUGCAGGGCUGCAUUUAAAAAUUAGGUUUGGGACAGUUCUUUUACCAUGGUUUCAGCCUUGUGUGGUCAUCACUGGCUUCUGGAGCUACUGUUGAUGUCCAAGGGAAAGCUUUGAGAGUUUGUGUUUACUCUUUGAGUCCCAGGAGAAGCCUGGUACCCUCUUUGCAAAUUGGCCUUUGCUCUUUCAAUGCCUUUCAUCCAUCUCCACUCUCUCAACUGCCUAAAGUCACAGCACAGAUACUGCCCAGUGCCUUAAGAGGAGACAUGAUCCACUGAGGGGAUAGGUCUACCAGGAACUCUCAGCAAACACGGGGCUGUGUUCAGUCCAUAAAGGAAAAGCAUUUUCAAAGCUCUCAUUGUUCAUGUAAAAAUCAUACACGUGGCAUUUUGCUCCACAUUCCUUACACACAGGGGUAGAGAGGAUUGCUUUUGUGACCCACAUUCAAAUAUGUGACUGUUUUCUUUUCUCUUUCACUGCUAAGCAGCCUGGAAAGGAUAAAUGAAUAUUAGACUAAGAUUUGUUCUCCAGGAGGCUCAACCUGAACUGAACACAUAGAAUGUCAGAGCUGGAAGGGACUAUAGAGAUCAUCUGGUCUGACCCUCUUGUACGGAUGAUCAGAAAACUGUGUAGAGGGGAAUGGCCAAAAUCACAAAGCAAGUUAGCAUAAGAGCUCGGACUAGAAUUCAGGGUCCUCACUCCCAGGCCACCGAACCAUGCAGCCCCUUCUUUGGGGGAAGAGACCUGUGUCAGUCUUGGUUAAUUAUUCCAGGGAACCUUGCUAACAGAAACUUACUCUUGCCUUGUCUCUUCAGUAGGUAUGACCUGGCUGUAAAAAGAUUGCCUAGACGAGCCAGAUCAUUCAGUUUCAGCAAGUCCUUGAGCUCCACAACAUCUGCCAGAUAUAGCAGACAAGCACCCAUGGAGGCAGGUUUCGGGCCUGAAGCAAAUCAGAGGGCUUUGCAAAAGACAGCAUAGAGCCAUCUUCCUGCAACUUUACCUCUUUCCCUCAGAUGGGGAGCCAUGACUGGCUUGCACCUCAGGAUACUGUAAUUUGACUCCAUAAUUGCUUUUGCUCCUGAAACCUGGGAAUCAAUGGAAAGGCAGGGAAUGUGCCUCUUCUGUGGCCAGAUUCUGUUAUUUGCAAUUAAAGCAAGUUUUUAAAAAAUGCAAGAGGCAGUUGUUAGUCUUCAGGGUUUGGCCACUGAAAUAGCUAUGUGGCAGAUACUGAAAACAGAGGACAAUUUGAGGAUCUUGCUGGAAUAAUAAAUGGCAGCUACCAUUUGUUGAGCACAUAUUAUUAUAUCAGGCACUGAGCUGGGUAGGCUCUAAACUUCACAAUAACCCUAUGACUUAACUACUUUAUCUCCAUUUUGUAGAUGAAGAAAUAAGUUCAGAGAGUGAUUCCUUCCCAAGGUCAUGCAGCUAGUAAAUGGCAGAAUCAGGACUCAUAGCAUCACUAUAGGGGAUCAAUAUUUACACAAAAAAGGAGAGUCACAAGCCUAUUUAAAAUAAAGUGACCACCUUUUCUUGCAUAGACUAACUCUAAGUGGCAUUUUUAGGUUGGAAAGACAGCUGAAUUAGUUAAGUCUGAUUGCCAAGUAAGUCUUAAAAACCAAAGCAUCCACGAUGCAUACCCCUGCACCAUUUGCUGUGCGAAUUAAUAGUUUUGUCUCUCUCUCUCUCUUUUCUCUUUUUAUUUUUUGAGACGGAUUUUCGCUCUUGUCGCCCAGGCUGGAGUACAAUGGCAUGAUCUUGGCUCACUGCAACCUCCACCUCCUGGGUUCAAGUGAUUCUCCUGCCUCAGCCUCCUGAGUAGCUGGGAUUACAGCAUUUGUCACCAUGCCUAGAUUUUUUUUUUGUAUUUGUAGUAGAGAUGGGGUUUCACCAUGUCAGUCAGGCUGGUCUUGAACUCCUGACCUCAGGUAAUCCACCCGCCUCGGCCUCCCACAGUGCUGGGAUUACAGGCAUGAGCCACCGCUCCUGGCCUCUCUUUCUUUUUUCAACAAAGAAUUUUGCACUUGGCCAGACAGGAGAAGAAAGCCCAUUUUCUCCCUUCCUAAGCUAGAUCCAAAUAAAAUAAAGUUCAGUUUCCCCAUAACCAUUCUUGGGUCAUGAACUUUGAUCUGGAGUUUGUUUUGUUUCAGGCAUGUGUGCACCCAGCUUGCUGAUCCAACAAAGUCUAUUGCUUACCAGCUUGAUGGAGCCUUUUGGCCAGAAGUCAGUUUUUUUUGGAUCAGAGAAAUUUCCUGACAAGGUAUAUUUGUUUUCUAGUGACAGAAAGGCAAAGGAGCAAGUCCUAGUUUUUUGUUGUUGUUGUUGAAUACUAAAUUAAGAUAUAUCAGCUUGCUUUCAUUGAGCCUUGGGCUUCAGUCAUUGCUUGAGCAUUUGCAACUCGAGCUUCCAGGGAAAUUUGAGGUCCUCGCUUGUUUUCUGCUUUCAAGAACAAUGACCUGAUUCUGUCUUUAAAAAAAAAAAAAAAAAUCUCUGAAUCCUUUUUUUUUUUGAGAUGGAGUCUUGCUCUGUUGCCCAGGCUAGAGUGCAGUGGCGCCAUCUCAGCUCACUACAACCUCCAUCUCCCGGGUUCAAGCGAUUCUCCUGCCUCAGCCUCCCAAGUAGCUGGGAUUACAGGCGCUGCUCCACCACGCCUGGCUAAUUUUUGUAUUUUUAGUAGAGACGGGGUUUCACCAUAUUAGCCAGGUGGGUCGUGAACUCCUGACCUUGUGAUCCACCUGCCUUGGCCUCCCAAAGUGCUGGGAUUACAGGUGUGAACCACCGUGCCUGGCCAAAAAUCUCAGAAUUCUUUUAAGAAUAUCUUAAUUGCUCCAUCAGUAAUUUUGAAGUAGAAAUUUUGAAUUUCCUUUUUUUUUUUCUUUUUUGUCCUUUUCCCCUAGCCACUAAUUGGAUGGAUGAAUGUUUGACGGGGAAGAGGAAGGGUGAGAGGAUGCAUGGAUGAGUGGAUGAGUGGAUCGAUAGAUAUAUUGAUAAAUAGAACCAGUCAUCUGAAGCAACUUGAGAAUUGUAGCCUUAACUCCUUGAGACUAUAGAUUUCGAUCUAGGAAACAUGUAGCACCUGCCAGAUGCCAGAAAUUUAUACCAUUUAAAACUCAGUAAGUCUUUUCAACAUCAGGAAUGAGAGAAGUGACAUCAUGAUACAUCCUAUGGGUAUUAAAAAGCCAAUAGAAUAUUAUGAAUAAUUUUUUGCUAAUAAAUUUAACAACUUCAACAAAAUAGACAAAUUCCUUGAAAAAUAAAAAGUACCAAAAUUCAUUCAAGAAGAAAUAGAUACCAGCCUGAGCAACAUGGUGAAAUCCCAUCUCUACAAAAAAAAAAAAAAAAAAAAAAAUUAGUUGGGCAUGGUGGCACACACCUGUAGUCCCAGCUGGUCAGGAGGCUGAGGUGGAAGGAUCACCUGAGCCCAGGGAGGUCGAGGCUGCAGUGAGCCACGGUCUCACCACUGCACUCCAGCCUGCAUGACAGAAUGAGGCCCUGUCUCAAAAAAAAAAAAAGAAGAAGUAGAUAAUCUGAAUAGCCCUAUAUCUAUAGAAACUUAAUAGUGCUGGGAAAUAUAGGUAUUAUUAUCCUCAUUUUACAGAUGUGAAAAUUGAGGCUUGGAGAUGUAAAGUCUAUUGCUCAAGGUCAUGUGGCUAGAAUAUGACUGAGCCAGGAUUCAAAUCCAGGUCUUCUGAUUCUUAUUCCAGUGUCCUUUCUAGCAUACCAUAUUGCCUCUAAAGAUUGCAGCUCCUCAUUUACUAGAAAUUUGUUCCUGCCCAAUCUACAUCUCCACCUCACCCCAUCUUUUCUUAAGCACUAUGUUUGUGUUUUCAUCAGUAUUAUAUUCAUUGUCUUUGGAAUACAUGUUCUUGUUUGUGUUUGGAAAAAAAUCUCUUUUACCAGCUUGCACUCGGACCAACUUGGAAAAAAAAAAAAAAAAAAAAGCUUAAAUGCUGUUGCUAUGUACAGUUUAAAAAUGUGAAGUUUGUAGCUUUAACUUUUUGUAAGAAAAUCUAAUAACACUGGCUUAAGUGCUGACUUGAAAUGCUAUUUUGUAAGGUUUGGAUGUAAGUAAUCAAUUGAGGUCAGCAGUUUGUAUAAGUAUGAGACGUAGCUUCCUCCAUUGUCCCCACUCCUUUUUUUUUUUUUUUUUAAGUUUGAAAUGCUUCCUGUGUUUUUAUGUUAGAAUUGUUCUCCUUCCUUUCUUCUUCCUAUACCUCAUCACCUUUGUUUUAAAUAAACUGUUCUUUGGACCACAAACCCUUAUUAA